UCCUACGGGACGCAGCAGUGAGGAAUAUUGGUCAAUGGCCGAGAGGCUGAACCAGCCAAGUCGCGUGAGGGAUGACGGCCCUACGGGUUGUAAACCUCUUUUGUCGGGGAGCAAGACCCGCCUCGUGCAGGCGGAGCGAGAGUACCCGAAGAAAAAGCAUCGGCUAACUCCGUGCCAGCAGCCGCGGUAAUACGGAGGAUGCGAGCGUUAUCCGGAUAUAUUGGGUUUAAAGGGUGCGCAGGCGGACCAUCAAGUCAGCGGUAAAAUCGUGGGGCGCAACCCCAUCGCGCCGUUGAAACUGGCGG
This 305-nucleotide ribosomal RNA is filed under the name uncultured bacterium. RNAcentral's name for it is "bacterial SSU rRNA". It matches the Rfam family "Bacterial small subunit ribosomal RNA", at positions 337 to 639 of the family's 1533-position model. The record is from RNAcentral.